GAGCAAUCUCAUUUCCUGGAAUCCAAGAAUUAUAUAAUACUGGACUUUGCUAAAGAAUAAGCUCAUCGAACGAUUCUGGCCGUGCUACAGAAUAUUGAAUCAAGCAAAAUACUAGCCAUUGGAAGUUUCUUAUGAUCGCCUGAUUUCUAUAGUUCAACGAACGAAACUGUAGACUGCGUAUAAAAAUAUCUACUUGAAAUUUGUCCUUGACCGAGAAGCAUUCCCUGCCUUCUGCCCCCUGCACCCCCCAGCCGUUCUUUGUUCGGAACAGAUUUGCUAACUCACAGUGCUGGGUAGCAUUGUGUCACUGGAAAUCAUGACAUCUAAUUUGUCAACUCUGAAAGUUUUACGAAGUUCAAAUCUUCGACUUGUCGCAGUCUUUGAAAGUGGAAGGGGCAGCUAAGUUUUUGGACCAAUCCGCUGACAGCUAAACGACGCCAAGAAUUGUGAAUUUCAAUCUACUAUUGAUGCAUCGUUGUUAGAACGUAUCACGUAAUAUCACAAUAAUCAUUGAUGGUAGGAAUAAGUUUGACUACAAUAUUAUACGAUACAGCUGCCAGUAUGACAAAUGUAGAACGUAACUGCUGUUCAUCGAAAACUGAUUAUUCGUUGAUACUAAGAAUCAAGUAGAACGUAUUGAACGCACCAACAGUCGUGUUGGAGAACGAAUAGCAG
Eufriesea mexicana is the source of this 675-nucleotide long non-coding RNA. RefSeq lists it as uncharacterized. The record is from RefSeq and is a predicted model, not a curated record. The transcript has 5 exons. Lineage: Eukaryota; Metazoa; Arthropoda; Insecta; Hymenoptera; Apidae.